This 223-nucleotide unclassified non-coding RNA is filed under the name Glomus sp. RNAcentral's name for it is "partial contains 5.8S ribosomal RNA and internal transcribed spacer 2". The stretch from base 1 to 71 matches the Rfam family "5.8S ribosomal RNA", at positions 84 to 154 of the family's 154-position model. Lineage: Eukaryota; Fungi; Glomeromycota; Glomeromycetes; Glomerales; Glomeraceae. The record is from RNAcentral.
GUGAAUCAUCAAAUCUUUGAACGCAAAUUGCACUCUUUGGUAUUCCGGAGAGUAUGCCUGUUUGAGGGUCAGUUUAAAUAAAAAUCGGUGUGGUUGCUGCCUUUCGUGGUGACGCACCGGUUGUGGGUCGUCUUUCUGUCGGUUAGGUGUCCUAAAAUGUUGCAUUAUUUUUGUCGAACGUAUUUAAAUGAUUUUACGUACGUUUGCGAUAUCGAAUACUAGG